Eucalyptus grandis is the source of this 579-nucleotide long non-coding RNA. RefSeq lists it as uncharacterized. The transcript has 3 exons. Lineage: Eukaryota; Viridiplantae; Streptophyta; Magnoliopsida; Myrtales; Myrtaceae. The record is from RefSeq and is a predicted model, not a curated record.
UAAUAGUCUCCGUCAUGUACGAACUACUGUUGUACUUUCGCGUCUUCAACAGGACACCUCCUUUUAGUCUAAGAAACUGGAGAGCGACCUAAGGGCCACAAAAUACCCCAGACAAAUUCUUGGCAUCCAGCGAUUGGUAGCGGCAUCAACAGUCCCGCAUCAAAACCAUUGCUGAAGCCUGUAGGAUGCAUCCUCCAAAAGCCAUCUGCUGCCGCUCAGCUCUUUGAUCCCGAUGAGAAAGAGAAAACGAAGAAGUAGAAUAAGAUCCAGCAUACAUGGGCGACAUUGCCAGGACUCUCUAAUCGGAAGCCAUCACGGGCCUGUGCUUUCGUCAGCUCUGCUGGUGAAAUUCAUCCUGAACACCGCCUUCAGUGUUGCCAUUCUUCAUUCGAGUUAAUCAAGUUGUCAGGUUCCCGAAUCUCCCGGAGUUGAUUAUGGUAUGGUGAUGACGAAAGCUUCACCAAGACGGAGGUUUUUGUUUUCUUUUCUCAAAUUAUUGCACAUGAAUUUUUAAGUUCUGUAAUAGAGAUAAUGUUCGAUCUAACAAGCUACAAGACGUCCAGUCUGUUCCUUAAUUCA